GCCAGGCGUGGUGGCGCACGCCUGUGAUCCCAGCACUUUGGGAGGCCGAGGUGGGUGGAUCACCUGAGGUCAGGAGUUUGAGACCAGCCUGACCAACAUGGUGAAACCCCAUCUCUA
RNAcentral lists this small RNA (117 nucleotides) under Papio anubis (olive baboon). Its description in RNAcentral is "Metazoan signal recognition particle RNA (ENSPANG00000044811.1)". It matches the Rfam family "Metazoan signal recognition particle RNA". From Rfam's summary of the family: The signal recognition particle (SRP) is a universally conserved ribonucleoprotein. Lineage: Eukaryota; Metazoa; Chordata; Mammalia; Primates; Cercopithecidae. The record is from Rfam by way of RNAcentral.